UGGGGAAUAUUGGACAAUGGGCGGAAGCCUGAUCCAGCAACGCCGCGUGAGGGAUGACGGCCUUCGGGUUGUAAACCUCUUUCAGUACCGACGAAGCGGAAGUGACGGUAGGUACAGAAGAAGCACCGGCCAACUACGUGCCAGCAGCCGCGGUAAUACGUAGGGUGCGAGCGUUGUCCGGAAUUAUUGGGCGUAAAGGGCUCGUAGGCGGUUUGUCGCGUCGGGAGUGAAAACACUGGGCUUAACUCAGUGCUUGCUUCCGAUACGGGCAGACUAGAGGCAUGCAGGGGAGAACGGAAUUCCUGGUGUAGCGGUGAAAUGCGCAGAUAUCAGGAGGAACACCGGUGGCGAAGGCGGUUCUCUGGGCAUGUCCUGACGCUGAGGAGCGAAAGUGUGGGGAGCGAACAGGAUUAGAUACCCUGGUAGUCCACACCGUAAAACGUUGGGCGCUAGGUGUGGGGGCCCUAUUCCAUGGUUCCGUGCCGCAGCUAACGCAUUAAGCGCCCCGCCUGGGGAGUACGGCCGCAAGCUAAAACUUAAAGGAAUUGACGGGGUCAUAGCUG
RNAcentral lists this ribosomal RNA (563 nucleotides) under uncultured bacterium. RNAcentral describes it as "partial 16S ribosomal RNA". It matches the Rfam family "Bacterial small subunit ribosomal RNA", at positions 355 to 932 of the family's 1533-position model. The record is from RNAcentral.